Desulfobulbaceae bacterium S3730MH12 is the source of this 98-nucleotide non-coding RNA. Lineage: Bacteria; Pseudomonadati; Thermodesulfobacteriota; Desulfobulbia; Desulfobulbales; Desulfobulbaceae. The record is from Rfam.
AAGUGAUUCCAAAAUGCCUGAUUCCCAGGCAGGGUAUGAGUUUGCUUUAAAUGCAUUACCCUCGGCUCUUGCUGGGGCCAAUAUGAUUUUUGGUGCAG